UUCCCCGGGAUAUUUGUGUAGCUCCACUUUCACUUCAUUCCUGUCUUUGUUCAACUGUCAAACAUUCCCAGGCAGGCCUUCCCUGACCACCCUACAAAAAAUAUAGCCCUUCCCACACAUCUCACUUUUUCAAGCUCGAAUUGGUUGCCGCCUGCGACACUAAUUUGUUCCCAGAUGACCCGCUGACUGUAUUUGUCAGGGGGUGUAGUAGAGGGAUCGGUGACACAGGUACCUCAGGCCCAAGUGCAGAAAGGGAAUGUCAGGUGGCCCCAAGGUUAGGAGGUCCCCGCCCGAGCCCCCACCCAGACCGCAGCCCCGAGGACAGCGAGCCUGGAGGCGGCGGCGGGAGGUGGCACUCAGGAAGAGGCGGCAGGGACCGUGCGGGUCACGGGGACACGGAGCCCCGCCCGGUGCUCGGCGCUAGUGCGGCGGCGGGAAGGACCCUCGCGGGGCGCGGGGGGCGGGGGCGCCGGGGAGACGCGUCUGGAGCAGUGCGUGCUGUGCAGCACCCCGGAGGCUGCCGGCUAGCUGCGGCGGGGCAGGGUGCCAGCACCCCCCGUGGGGGUGGGGGUGGGGGGUGGGGGCGAGGAGGGAGAAGGGCUGGGGGACGCCCUCUCGCAGCAGGUGCGGCUGAGCGAGGACCCGAAGAGGUGAGGCCUAGGGCAGGGGAUCCCCGAGGGAGGCGCCUUCAGGCCGCCCGACGGCGGGGCACAAGCCCCGAGCAGGCCCGUGAGCCAAGGGCUCAUUCGCGGGUGUUCCCGGGCCCCUCCAGUGCCACCCCCGUGCUGUGUGUGUCCUUGUGGGGUCUGUGGGGUGACGAGAUUGGGGCUGGCUCGUGUGUGUCCUGUUUUUGAUCCUGUGCGUAGAAUAGGGUUGGGGAGAUAGGAUGGGCGAAGGCAGGUUUUCACUCCCGUUUCCCAGGUGACGAAAGUGAGGCUCAGGAGGCGGGGAGGGGAGCUCGAACCCGGAUUUGUCCUAUUCCGGGGCUCCCUCGCAGAACCGCUUAACGUUUCUGAACCUGUGGCCUCAGUGUCCGCCGCCCCGCUGAUCCCCACCAACCUCGCCUCCCCCCCCCCCCCCCAGGCCUCCCCCGCACCC
Molecule: long non-coding RNA, 1098 nt
Filed under: Canis lupus familiaris (dog)
Lineage: Eukaryota; Metazoa; Chordata; Mammalia; Carnivora; Canidae
Description: lncRNA (ENSCAFG00845004311.1)
Source: RNAcentral